CCCUGGUUAGUUCAGUUGGUAGAGCGCUCCACUGGAAAUGGAGAGGUCCCGGGUUCGAUACCCGGACCAGGCG
This is a non-coding RNA of Ixodes scapularis (black-legged tick), 73 nucleotides long. NCBI's taxonomy places the organism in Eukaryota, Metazoa, Arthropoda, Arachnida, Ixodida, Ixodidae. The record is from Rfam.